GGGCUAUAGCUCAGAGGUAGAGCAUCUGCUUUGCAUGCAGAAGGUCCCUGGUUCAAUCCCUGGCAUCUCCA
Molecule: transfer RNA, 71 nt
Filed under: Podarcis lilfordi (Lilford's wall lizard)
Lineage: Eukaryota; Metazoa; Chordata; Lepidosauria; Squamata; Lacertidae
Description: tRNA.Ala
Rfam family: tRNA
About the family: Transfer RNA (tRNA) molecules are approximately 80 nucleotides in length.
Source: RNAcentral